UGAACAGAAAGGUGACAGAGCGUCACGUCGGCUUUAACAUGAUGUUAAUGCUCUUCAUGUUUUGCUUCUUUUAUCUGCCGUGGAUUAAGGGUGCCUCUCACAUUAACAGUGUCUUCCAAACGCCAUCUUUCAUCAUUAAGAGAAAUAAUGAAUCCGUUGCCAGUGAGAUCAACUGUUCGCACAGCAUAACAAAUUAUGAUGUAAUUCUCUGGUACAAACAGGAAGAUCAAGGAGCUCUAAAGCUUCUGGGAUAUCUGAAUGUAAAUUUUGUAAAUCUCGAGGACGACGUGAAAGGAAAAAUCAGCUUUGAUGGAGUUGGCAGUUCACAUUCCCACCUCAGCGUUUCUGAUCUGUCAUUAAAUGACAACGCUAACAGGAUGACACAUACAGUGACACUCCCACCUGCAGCUCUACGUAUCAACCAUAUGAGAGUCUGGUAGCUCCUGUCCUGCAGAACAUGGAUAAUAUCAUUAAACGAGGCCUGCUCACAUUGUCAGUCUUUGUGCUGUGGACUACAGGUCUAACUGAUGGGAGUGAUGUCACCCAGACCUCCAUACUUUGGAAACAACAGGAGGACAAUGCAACAAUGAACUGUAGCCACACCAAGGGUGCUCAGAUGUACUGGUACAGACAGCUGCCAGGAGAAACAAUGAAACUAAUAGUGUUCACAACAACUGGUGCCAUCAACAACAAUCAUGAUUUUGGAGAUUUCAGCAAAGAGAAAUUCUCAGCCACCAAGCCUGACGCUGAGAGUGGGACAUUCACAGUGAACAAUCUGAAGCCAGAAGAUAAAGGCUUGUAUUUCUGUGCUGUCUAACUGAUGGGAGUGAUGUCAACCAGACUCCAGACAGACUGUGGAAAAACACGACCGACAGUGCAACAAUAAGCUGCAGCCACACCA
Perca flavescens (yellow perch) is the source of this 901-nucleotide non-coding RNA. The record is from the annotation of a RefSeq genome assembly. Lineage: Eukaryota; Metazoa; Chordata; Actinopteri; Perciformes; Percidae.